GUUUGUAUAAAGCUGGCACAGGGAUUGCCCUAGUAACGGCGAGUGAAGCGGCAACAGCUCAAAUUUGAAAUCUGGCUCUUUUAGAGUCCGAGUUGUAAUUUGCAGAGGGCGCUUUGGCUUUGGCAGCGGUCCAAGUUCCUUGGAACAGGACGUCACAGAGGGUGAGAAUCCCGUACGUGGUCGCUGGCUAUUGCCGUGUAAAGCCCCUUCGACGAGUCGAGUUGUUUGGGAAUGCAGCUCUAAAUGGGAGGUACAUUUCUUCUAAAGCUAAAUAUUGGCCAGAGACCGAUAGCGCACAAGUAGAGUGAUCGAAAGAUGAAAAGCACUUUGGAAAGAGAGUCAAACAGCACGUGAAAUUGUUAAAAGGGAAGCGCUUGCAGCCAGACUUGCUUACAGUUGCUCAUCCGGGCUUUUGCCCGGUGCACUCUUCUGUAGGCAGGCCAGCAUCAGUUUGGGCGGUAGGAUAAAGGUCUCUGUCACGUACCUCCUUUCGGGGAGGCCUUAUAGGGGAGACGACAUACUACCAGCCUGGACUGAGGUCCGCGCAUCUGCUAGGAUGCUGGCGUAAUGGCUGUAAGCGGCCCGUCUUGAAACACGGACCAAGGAGUCUAACAUCUAUGCGAGUGUUUGGGUGUCAAGCCCGAGCGCGUAAUGAAAGUGAACGGAGGUGGGAACCCGCAAGGGUGCACCAUCGACCGAUCCUGAUGUCUUCGGAAGGAUUUGAGUAAGAGCAUGGCUGUUGGGACCCGAAAGAUGGUGAACUAUGCUUGAAUAGGGUGAAGCCAGAGGAAACUCUGGUGGAGGCUCGCAGCGGUUCUGACGUGCAAAUCGAUCGUCAAAUUUGGGCAUAGGGGCGAAAGACUAAUCGAAACUAUCUAGUAGCUGGUUCCUGCCGAGUCUCCCCCUCAAGAGAAAGAAACGCGCUCCAAGAAUCGUUCGAUUGAGUCAAUCGCCCUGUGCCCAUGUGGACGAUGAUUUGCAGGUCGGACGCUGCAGACCUCCAGAAGUUUCCCUUGCUUCACUUAUCAGGCAAGUACGCUAUCGGUUCAACGCAUGCUUAACUCAAUCCUCCAGACUUCAGAUGUGAAUGUACCUCGCUCUGUCAGUUACUACCGCCU
Molecule: ribosomal RNA, 1118 nt
Filed under: Alternaria atra
Lineage: Eukaryota; Fungi; Ascomycota; Dothideomycetes; Pleosporales; Pleosporaceae
Description: partial large subunit ribosomal RNA
Rfam family: Eukaryotic large subunit ribosomal RNA
Source: RNAcentral